This 232-nucleotide ribosomal RNA is filed under the name uncultured bacterium. RNAcentral's name for it is "partial 16S ribosomal RNA". It matches the Rfam family "Bacterial small subunit ribosomal RNA", at positions 337 to 586 of the family's 1533-position model. The record is from RNAcentral.
UCCUACGGGGGGCAGCAGUGGGGAAUAUUGCACAAUGGGGGGAACCCUGAUGCAGCGACGCCGCGUGAGUGAAGAAGUAUUUCGGUAUGUAAAGCUCUAUCAGCAGGGAAGAAAAUGACGGUACCUGACUAAGAAGCCCCGGCUAACUACGUGCCAGCAGCCGCGGAAAUACGUAGGGGGCAAGCGUUAUCCGGAUUUACUGGGGGUAAAGGGAGCGUAGCCGGCAGAGAAA